UACGGAGGGUGCGAGCGUUAAUCGGAAUUACUGGGCGUAAAGCGUGCGCAGGCGGUUUUGUAAGCCAGAUGUGAAAUCCCCGGGCUUAACCUGGGAAUGGCAUUUGGGACUGCAAGGCUGGAGUGUGGCAGAGGAGACUGGAAUUCCUGGUGUAGCAGUGAAAUGCGUAGAUAUCAGGAGGAAUACCGAUGGCGAAGGCAGCCCCCUGGGAUAACACUGACGCUCAUGCACGAAAGCGUGGGGAGCAAACAGG
Molecule: ribosomal RNA, 253 nt
Filed under: uncultured bacterium
Lineage: Bacteria
Description: partial 16S ribosomal RNA
Rfam family: Bacterial small subunit ribosomal RNA
Source: RNAcentral